Molecule: long non-coding RNA, 1247 nt
Organism: Halichondria panicea
Lineage: Eukaryota; Metazoa; Porifera; Demospongiae; Suberitida; Halichondriidae
Exons: 4
Source: RefSeq, a predicted model, not a curated record
GCUAGUGAAAUUGCUUUGUUUACUGUGAAAGGGGUGGAAUGUGACACCUCUCUGAAAAGGGGGAGGAUCUGAGCAAUGAUUAUGUUUACUGAGAAACAAGGCUGAAAGGGGCGAAAUUCCUCUUUAUGGGUGGUCCCACUGUGUACACUGUAGCUAGUGGUUGACUUAUGUUUUUUGUAAUAAGGUUUGCAUUUUGUGAAUGUGGUCUGUCUGUGUAAGACUGUGGAAUGUGGGGAUGAGUGGAGAAUUUCCUUGAAUCACGUUUACUGAACCAUGUUAAGUGGUAGUCAUUUGAAAGCUCUCAAUGAGACGAAUCUAACACUGAAUACCCAUAUCAUCACACCCUCACACAACACACACCCGCCCACACAUAGGCACUGGGCGUACUACUGUUCAAGCUGUGCUUCAUAUGGAUACUCCAUUUGGUGACAACCCUCUAGCCAUAGUCAGUGCUCAGUACAGCAUUCCUGUGAAGACUCUCCCUACACACAAGACCUGCACAACUUCAUAGGCUACCUGUUGACCUCUGACCCUGAGCUGUGUCCCAGUAUCUGGCAAGUGUGUGAGGUGGUGUCCAGGAUCACAGGAACCACCAACCAUGUCACUAAUGUCUGUCGUUCCCCUUGUCCGCCAAAUACUCUCCCUUCUCCAAAAAAAACUCGUUCUGUUGCUAAGAAACUAACCAACCAAUCAAAACCCUCCGUAACUGUCACCCCCCCAUUAACACUAUUGCUACAGCAGUUACCACGACAGCCAUUUCAUCUCAAGAUCGGAAAGGGUCGCGGGUCAAAUUCGCCAUGGCAACAACGAGUAUCGAACCUGAAGCCGUCCAAUCAGAAUGCAGGAUUCCAUUAGAGCGUAGACAGUGGACUGGAUGCUUUUGGUUAUGUCCCGUUCACUCCACAAAGAAUAGGAUCAGAGACCAACCUGACCACAGUGAUCGACUGGCAGUCCAUUUUCCUACGGAUAACUUUGGUAGUUGACGGAUGUUCCUCUACCCCGCCCACUCAUAAUACUGCUGACAAUGCAAGACGAGAUUUGUUUGGAGCACCCCCCUUUGGAGAGGGUUCAAAGGUUACGACAACACAAUGACAUCUGUAGAUCAAUUUGGUGAAUUUUAAUAUUUAUUUUUCCGUGUGUUUAGUAUUAUUAUAAGUGUUGUUUUGUGUGUAGAGUAGGAUCACAUGACUGGACUAUUGACUGUUUGCAUAUAAUUAGGAUUUUUAUGUUCAGGUAACAGUUUUGUG